GAUGAAGAACGUAGCGAAAUGCGAUAAGUAAUGUGAAUUGCAGAAUUCAGUGAAUCAUCGAAUCUUUGAACGCACAUUGCGCCCGCCAGUAUUCUGGCGGGCAUGCCUGUUCGAGCGUCAUUACAACCCUCAGGCCCCCGGGCCUGGCGUUGGGGAUCGGCGGAGCCCCCCGUGGGCACACGCCGUCCCCCAAAUACAGUGGCGGUCCCGCCGCAGCUUCCAUCGCGUAGUAGCUAACACCUCGCGACUGGAGAGCGGCGCGGCCACGCCGUAAAACACCCCACUUCUGAAAGUUGACCUCGGAUCAGGUAGGAAUACCCGCUGAACUUAAGCAUAUCAAUAAGCGGAGGA
RNAcentral lists this unclassified non-coding RNA (351 nucleotides) under soil metagenome. RNAcentral describes it as "partial contains 5.8S ribosomal RNA, internal transcribed spacer 2, and large subunit ribosomal RNA". The stretch from base 1 to 120 matches the Rfam family "5.8S ribosomal RNA", at positions 35 to 154 of the family's 154-position model. The record is from RNAcentral.